This 346-nucleotide ribosomal RNA is filed under the name uncultured Desulfobulbus sp. Its description in RNAcentral is "bacterial SSU rRNA". It matches the Rfam family "Bacterial small subunit ribosomal RNA", at positions 1037 to 1382 of the family's 1533-position model. Lineage: Bacteria; Pseudomonadati; Thermodesulfobacteriota; Desulfobulbia; Desulfobulbales; Desulfobulbaceae. The record is from RNAcentral.
GGUGCUGCAUGGCGUGUCGUCAGCUCGUGUCGUGAGAUGUUCGGGUUAAGUCCCGCAACGAGCGCAACCCUUGCCUUAGUUGCCAGCAGUUCGGCUGGGCACUCUAAAGGGACUGCCGGUGUUAAACCGGAGGAAGGUGGGGAUGACGUCAAGUCCUCAUGGCCUUUAUGACCAGGGCUACACACGUACUACAAUGGCCGAUACAAAGGGCAGCGACACUGCGAGGUGAAGCCAAUCCCGUAAAAUCGGUCUCAGUCCGGAUUGGAGUCUGCAACUCGACUCCAUGAAGUUGGAAUCGCUAGUAAUCGUGGAUCAGCAUGCCACGGUGAAUACGUUCCCGGGCCUU